GACGAACGCUGGCGGCGUGCUUAACACAUGCAAGUCGAACGGACAGGCCCUGCUUUUGUGGGGUGCUCGUGUGGCGAACGGGUGAGUAACACGUGAGUAACCUGCCCUUGACUUUGGGAUAACUUCAGGAAACUGGGGCUCAUACCGGAUAGGAGCUCCUGCUGCAUGGUGGGGGUUGGAAAGUUUCGGCUGUUGGGGAUGGACUCGCGGCUUAUCAGCUUGUUGGUGGGGUAGUGGCUUACCAAGGCUUUGACGGGUAGCCGGCCUGAGAGGGUGACCGGCGACAUUGGGCCUGAGAUACGGCCCAGACGCGUACGGGAGGCAGCAGGGGGGAAUAUUACACAAUGGGCGGAAGCGUGAGGCAGAAACGCCGCGUGCGUGAUGACGGCCUUCGGGUGGUAAACCGCUUUCGCCGGUGACGAAGCGUUAGUGACGGUAAUGGGUAAAGAAGCACCGGCUAACUACGUG
RNAcentral lists this ribosomal RNA (468 nucleotides) under uncultured bacterium. RNAcentral's name for it is "partial 16S ribosomal RNA". It matches the Rfam family "Bacterial small subunit ribosomal RNA", at positions 28 to 507 of the family's 1533-position model. The record is from RNAcentral.